CCCCCCCACACACACACACACACAAAAGAAAAAUAAGUAUAAAAUGUAAAAUAUAAUACUGUAGUAAUAAUAACGCUCACAUAAAACUAGGAUAGAUUCUUUAAUAUAUGCUUUGUCAUGUUUUGGAUUCCCAGUGUCAGAUUAAAACGAUAAAAAAGGCUUUUGUUUUAAACGUUUUGAAAACAACUACACUAUGUUUUAAGUGCGAUUAUUAUUGAAGCUCAACAAACACUAAAAGAUCUUCCACGAGUUUUUCUUUUCCUAAACGCGGUUACUCUCCAGCUGAACUCUCUGAUUUCCGAUGUUUUCACUUGCUCUCAAACGCAACAUUUGCUGUCAAACUUUCAGUGUCGUUCCUCUUCCAAAGCUGUGGCGCAGUUUACGUUCUCGUCUGGAUGAAGACUGAAGUCCUCAAGAUGAGUGAGGAGGAGUUUCCAGCCUCCAGCUGUCUAUGAAGAGCGACCGAUCCAACGAUCAUCCUCCAGACUUCAGUAAAGAACCUAAACCCUCAGAGACAAAUGUGGACAGGAAUCAGCUGCUGAGGUUCAUCCACUGCUGUGCUGCCUCUGACGUCCAGCAGGAGGCAGCAUCCGGCCUGCUGAGGACUCUGCAGCACCGCUUGGAUCUGUCCUGCCAGUCCUUUGUGGAUCUACAAGAGGAGGAUCAGACCGAGCCUCUGAGUCUGACUGCUGAUGACUGCAGGGCUGCAUCCAUCAUCCUGAAACACUGCAGCCGGGACACUCAGCUCCACCUGCAGGACUGUGAGGUGGAGGACGGAGGACUGGACCUGCUGUUUCCUGUCCUGGACAGGGUCCGUCUCAGAGUCAGUAAAAGUGUCCUCCUCCAGCUGCUGUCCCUGAUUCCUGUCCACUCUGAGAGGGACACAGUGAGACGGGCCGAGUCCCUGUGUGGAGCUCUGGGUGGAGAGCUGGACCUCAGUCACACCACACUGGACCAGAGGGUCUGUGGAGGUCUGGUCCAGAUGCUGGACUCCUGUGAAGGACUGACUGAGCUGGACCUCAGUCACUGUCAGCUCAGAGACCAGCUGCUGCUGGUCCUCAUCACACAUCUGCACAAAGUCCAGGUCCUGGAUCUGAGCCACAAUAAGAUCACAGAUGCUUCCACAGAUGUGCUCCUCCAGCUGAUCUCCAUCCACUCCUCCAUCCACACUGUGAGACUCUUCAGCAACGACAUCGUGGACAGAAGACCCUUUAAGAAGCACAAGCAGUUUGAAAUCUGGUGAAGCAGUCAGGAGGUCAUGUGAUCAUCAGGGAGGAACUGUUGGAUGUUGUCAUUAAAAAGCCUUUUCUCCUCAUGAUCAGAUGAAAACAUGGAGUUCAUUCUGGUCAUCAGUAGUGUGUGAUGGAGAGACUUUAGUUGAAACAAGCUUUGAUUUUUACCUCAUUAGAUUCUCUUUGCUUUUUACAAUCAAUCAGACGACACUUUAUCUGGAGGCAAAGAGCAGCCAGCAGUGUUUUCUAAAACUUCACCACCUAUGUUUGACAUUAUUAGUUAGUGGAGCUCAUAUUUCUGUUUGCUACCAUGUAAUGAUCGUCUUAAAAUUAUUUUUUUAUUGUGACAAAACAGAGACUAUAACUGUCAGUGUUGUGAAUAGGCUGAAGUGAUAUUUUUCUACUGCUGUGAUAACUGUAUUUAUUCUUGUUUGCAUGUUCCAGUGGAGGGAGAGUAAAAUGACUCUCUGAUAGCACCUCAGAGGAAUGAAGCAAGAAGAGUUCAUUCAGGACUAAACUGUUUGGUACAUUCCUAGAACUGGAAGAAACCAUCAGAAAACUGGAAACAUGUUGAGGAUUUUUCACUCACAUUUGAAAUAAAGUCAUCCAAGAGAUGAUGUUUCUUCCUGUGCUGGUUCUCUCUUCUUUCUAUGACAGUGUUGUGAUGUUUUCAUGGAACAUCUUCUAUAGAGCACAGCUUCUAGACAUGAACUGGAGCUCAGUAUUUGACAAACUUCUGCUGUAGUUUUGGCUCUUUGGGGCAGAAAACCUCGUGUUCUGUUUAAUGUUUGACCUCAGCAUGAAGUUAAGGAUGUG
Amphiprion ocellaris (clown anemonefish) is the source of this 2048-nucleotide long non-coding RNA. NCBI's taxonomy places the organism in Eukaryota, Metazoa, Chordata, Actinopteri, Pomacentridae. The record is from Ensembl.